AAACACCUACGGGGGGCAGCAGUGGGGAAUAUUGCACAAUGGGGGAAACCCUGAUGCAGCGACGCCGCGUGAGUGAAGAAGUAUUUCGGUACGUAAAGCUCUAUCAGCAGGGAAGAAAAUGACGGUACCUGACUAAGAAGCCCCGGCUGUCUACGUGCCAGCAGCCGCGGUAAUACGUAGGGGGCAAGCGUUAUCCGGAUUUACUGGGUGUAAAGGGAGCGUAGACGGAAGCGCAAGUCUGGAGUGAAAUGCCGGGGCCCAACCCCGGAACUGCUUUGGAAAAUGUGCAGCU
Molecule: ribosomal RNA, 292 nt
Filed under: uncultured bacterium
Lineage: Bacteria
Description: partial 16S ribosomal RNA
Rfam family: Bacterial small subunit ribosomal RNA
Source: RNAcentral